ACUUCGGUGGCCUAGUGGUUAGAGCGUACGCCUAGGAUGCGAAAGGGCGUGGAUUCGAUCCCCGGUCGAUUCA
Molecule: non-coding RNA, 73 nt
Organism: Potamilus streckersoni
Lineage: Eukaryota; Metazoa; Mollusca; Bivalvia; Unionida; Unionidae
Source: the annotation of a GenBank genome assembly